This 397-nucleotide ribosomal RNA is filed under the name uncultured bacterium. RNAcentral describes it as "partial 16S ribosomal RNA". It matches the Rfam family "Bacterial small subunit ribosomal RNA", at positions 523 to 918 of the family's 1533-position model. The record is from RNAcentral.
AUACGUAGGGGGCGAGCGUUGUCCGGAAUGACUGGGCGUAAAGGGCGUGUAGGCGGCCGAUUAAGUCUGGAGUGAAAGUCCUGCAUUCAAUGUGGGAAUUGCUUUGGAGACUGGUUGGCUUGAGUGCGGAAGAGGUAAGUGGAAUUCCCAGUGUAGCGGUGAAAUGCGUAGAGAUUGGGAGGAACACCAGUGGCGAAGGCGACUUACUGGGACGUAACUGACGCUGAGGCGCGAAAGCGUGGGGAGCGAACAGGAUUAGAUACCCUGGUAGUCCACGCGGUAAACGAUGAAUGCUAGGUGUUGCGGGUAUCGACCCCUGCAGUGCCGGAGUAAACACAAUAAGCAUUCCGCCUGGGGAGUACGGCCGCAAGGUUGAAACUCAAAUGAAUUGACGGGG